Molecule: non-coding RNA, 6751 nt
Organism: Doryrhamphus excisus (bluestripe pipefish)
Lineage: Eukaryota; Metazoa; Chordata; Actinopteri; Syngnathiformes; Syngnathidae
Source: RefSeq, a predicted model, not a curated record
UUGUCCGAAAUAGGCGAAAUCCGUUAUAAAAAAUCCGAUAUAUGCAAUGAAUUUUUAUUGGAAAUGCAUUACAGAAAAAUUGGUUCUUUUUUAUCUGUCCGUUGUGAGUGAAUUUCCGAUAUAUCCGAGUCCGAUAUAUCCGAGGUUUACUGUCAAUAAAUCCAAGGAAGUAUACAUUUUCACUGUUAAACAGUAUUAUGAGAAGUGACUAUGAAGUGAUGCCAUUGCACUAAGCAAUAGAUACGAACAGAGCAGUCACGUGUGUGCGUUUGAAAGGUUGCAAAUCAUAGACUGUGGUUAUGUAAGCACCUUGAGCUCCUCCAGAGCGCCAGCAAUAAGAGGUUGGCUGGAUGUUUGCUCGCGGCUAAGAGUGAGCACAUCCUCCAUGGACUGCUGGACAGCCUUCCGCUGAGCCACCAGAUGAGCCGACUGCAUCACGAUCAUGAGCAUGUUGUCCACCUGGAACCACAGUGAGAGAGUGUCCACGGUUUCCAUUUGAGGAACCAGUUUGAGCAGCUCUCCGUCCCACUGAGUCCAGUCAGAAUCAGCUGUCAAAUCGCCGCUGCGGUGCUUGCUCAUCAACAGGUAGGCCUCAUCCUCAGCCAUUUCAUCUGGCUCUUUGGAGCAAUCUUUACCCGCAGCAGCAUUGAGGAGCUGCAGGAUGAGCGACCUCUGAGCCAACAGGCCGUAGGGAACAAACACCUGCAGCUCCUCCAAGCCAGGAAUGUGAACCUGGGAGUGGAGAGAAUCUUGCUUUUACUUCCCGACGCGACAGGAAGAUGAGAAGUGUAAAAUGUGAACGGAAACACACCUUGACAUAGCUCCUUUUCUUCAGAGCCUCUAAGAGCGACGCCACCCCGUUAGUAAUGCUGAAAUCUGCAGCAACCUCCAAGUCCUGCAGCAAAAGGAAGCAAGCAGGAAGUCAGAACACACAGAUUGUGCACAGUCACUGUUGUGGCAGCUUUAUGGCUUUAAAGCAACACUGCGGACUCUCACCUUGCGAAGCAUUUUGGCAAAGCCCAGAGCCUUGGAUGCACGCUCCCUGGCCUCGUGAAACAGCUCUUUAAGUGACCGACUGGUUUCAAUCACUGACCGCCUUGAAGGAUCACAAAGAAUGAGAUAGUUGGAACUAAAACAAGCAGAAACAUUGACCAGCAACAUCAAAACUGCCAGCACAAUCAGAUGAUUUCAUUUAAAGACUGUCAGGGACAAUGUUUAUUAUUGUUGUAGUUUGCAGUGGCAUCGCACUGUACUGCAUCAUAUUGACAGCUGUGCCUUGCACAUAAAUUAGGUUAUCAAGUUAUUAGAAACAGCUCUCAGAUAUAACACAGGACAACCUUUGUCUUAUAUAUGUAUUAGGGUGCAUCAAAUUUGAAUGGGAAAUUUUUAAUUCAUAAUAUCAAUUUGGCUGGCAUCCAUUUUUUCUAAUUAACAUAAAAAUGUCUUUUGCAAAGUUUUGAGGAAAUCCAUUGAGAUUUAGGGGUGCCACCUCACACAUAAACUUUUGUAAAAUUUCGGAAAAUGUGCAAUUGCCAAAAAGUUGACCUGUAAAUGUUGAGUACAAUGAACUUCUAUACAGCAUCAUUUUCUAUAGGGUCACCAAAGGGGGCCCAGACCAAAGACCAAGCUGAGACUGCUAGUCUGAAAGGAACUAGUUGUUGAGGGCAGCAUCUUAGGAGAGCUGGUGGGUUGUGCUGCACAGUGCCUAAAAUAAUAACAUUAUGUAUAUAAUGUUAUACCUAUAAAUACCUAUAAAUAUGACUACAAAUCAUUCAAAUUACAAAGACAAAACCGCAAAUUUGCUAGUAAUAUGUGAUAGGAGUAUAAAUACCAACAAAAACAUAAAGAUCACCUCAGAUCUCCAUGGCGACCAUUGAACUGUUCACCACUUUAUUCCACAAAAACAGAUGUAUGGUGGCACCCCUAAUUAAUCAUUUAUUGGAAAAAUAUUUUGUAUGUGUUGUUUCGACAUAUAUUGGAACACUUUUAGUACCCAGACAUAUCAAAAUUCAUACACAAAAAUGUGUAUAUGUAUAUAUGUAAUCUUCUGGCCAGUCAGUGUAAUUCCCCUUUACCUGAUUUCAUCUGAAGCGGUGCUGUCGUCGGCACUUUCCCAGAAUUCAUUACCACUCUUUUGUAGCCCGGCAUCAAGGAACUCUCCGGUGGAUUUGAGCAGCAUCCCAGCAAUGUCACUGCAAAAGAAACCAAAAAAAAAAAAAAGACUCUUGAGCACCAUAUGAAUGAUUUAAAGACUUUAAAUGGCUGCAACCGCAAGCACGCUAACCAGAAAAGCUUCCCAGACUGGGCUUCCCCUCCACGGAUGUAGGGGGUGAUGUCCUUGGUGAAGUGCCACUCCUCCUCGAGCAGGUUCUUUAGGCUGUGAGAGGCCUGAGGCAGCUGUUGCAACAUCUGGAUCCAGCUGUGCAUGUAGUCAAAGUAAACCUGAAAUGCGUACACGCAUGCAUGAAUACAUACAUACGGCGUUAGAACACCAACAAUAUUGCUUUCAUUCUCAAAGCUCUCGUGUUCAUGAUGCUAAACUGCGAGUAGUGACGCCUCUUACCACAAGCAUCUUGUGCAGAUCCUCCUCAAACUCGUCAAUGUUGGCGUUGGUCUGCAGGCCCUGAGCAUCUGUGACAACGCCGCGCAGCAUGAACUGAUAGUACUGCUUCAUAAGUAGGCCACCUUUGAGAACCUCCUUACACUCACGCACCAACUGCAGGGCGCAUAUGGAACACAGACACCAAGAUGUUAACAUGAAUGAGAUUGCACUCAUAUAAAUAAAUGGCAAGACUGCGUUUUUGGUCUUGUUGGCACUAGAUGUCCACAGCAUAUGGAUACAAAUUAUGGAAAAAGGAAUGUACUUCCUCUCAUCCCUGUUUGCUUGCCUGUUUGAUACUCAGUAGUGAAGGUUCUCCAGCAGGUCUCUGCUCCAGUCGCAGCUUGAGGCACUCAUGGAUGACAUUGAGGAGAACUCUGCAAAGCACAAGGAACGCCGGUCGGAAAGACGGGAGAUCCAUGUCAAGCAAAUCCUCCCAGGACACUUGGUCUGCCCCGAGUUCUGGGUCGGCCGAACCGCUGCAUGAACCCUGGCGCGACAGCUCUGGCAGGUAGUCAUUAUACAGCAUCGGGUCUGGGAAAUCUGCAAACUGCAAGGAGAAGGUAGAUACGUUGAAGCUCAGGUAGGUUAUUAUUACUUCUGCCAAGCUUGAAAACACCAGAAUGAGAGUUUUACAAAAGCGAUGGGCAGGAAACUUUGUAGAGCGCACAUGUGAAUAGACCUGUUGAGAAUUUAUUUGACUUUUCGUGGUUACAGUCUCCUUUAGGCCCAUGUAGCUAUUAAUAGGAACGGAGUGGAACAAUUUGGCCUUGUAAGGGAAUCAGCAGGAAUGUUUGAGCCUUGACGGAGGUCUGUGCUCAAUUGGUUACUGUUCUAGCAUCCUAGAACAGGGGUUUGUCUGGUUGACACAAAAGCGCCAUAAUCAUUCGUUCAUUCAUUUUCUACCGCUUUUUCCUUACAAGUGUCGCUGGAGCCUAUCCCAGCUGUCUUGGGGCGAGAGGUGGGGUAAACCUGGACUGGUGGCCAGCCAAUCACAGUGCACAUAUAGACAAACAACCAUUCACACUCACAUUCAUACCUAUGGACAAUUUGGAGUCGCCAAUUAACCUAGCAUGUUUUUGGAAUGUGGGAGGAAACCGGAGUACCCGGAGAAAACUCCACACAGAGAUGGACAAGGGUGGAAUUGAACCCUGGUCUCCUAGCUGUGAGGUCUGCGCGCUAACCACUCGACCGCCGUGCCGCCCGCGACAUAAUCAAAUACACAAAAUUGUCUAACCAUUUUUUUCCAUCACUUGUCCUUCAUUUUCCGACUCACAGUGCAAACACCAAUAAAGGUGUACAUUCGGGUUCUGAUCAACGUUAGAACUGUAUGUUUUUAUGGACUCCAUCGAACAGGUCUGGUACAACAACAGAUCCAUCACUUUUGUGUUGCACAACACUUAAAAGUAAGUUUUGACCAAGGCAGGAACUACAAGAAUAGAAUAAGCCUUUGUGAGUCUUGCAAUUGGGAAAUUCAGCUCAAUCUCUUCACAGCGUCUCAAAUUGCAAUAUUCCAUUCCAUAAAUCAGUGGUAGAUAACCGACUGGCCACAGUAAAAACUAAAUGUUUCAAAAUGCACUUUUCCAUUUUACGCUACUACUCGAUGUGUAACUGCUGUUGUUGUAAAAGUAAAAUUUAUUUCAAAACAAGAAUGAACUAUCCCAAAUAUUGAAAAAAGUACCGUCUCACCUCCAGUGCAGGCGUGUGGCAGAGCAGGGCUGCCCUGGACCUCUGUAGGGAGCGGUCCAUCAGUUUGUGCAGUCUGAGGAUCAGUUUGCGCAGUCCCAUCUGUUUCAGUGCUUUAUCCACAAAGGGUCUGUAGAUGGCUGUGGGGCAGAACAAGCCCCCCCCUCCCUGUGCUUCUGUACUUGCCGACCCUGCAGUGGGGAGAAACUCUUCCUCCGACAACAAUCUGGCAAAUUUGGGGGUCAGGGUGGGAGACAGCUCUCCCUCUGUUAGGAUACAUGCCGCUGUCUCAUCCUCGUCUUCCUCCUCUGCAACCCUGUCCUCGCCGUCGCUUUCGGCUGUGAAAGUGGCGGUUGAGUUGUUCUCCUCAUCCUCCUCGUUCUCGUCUUCCUCGUUGCCUCGGGAACAGCGGGGGGAAGGGAUCUCAAAGACGGGCCAGCCGAUGCGAGAUAGGUCACAGAGUCCCAGGACGGUGGCCAUGACGCGCAGCUUUUGGUUGAGGUCCUGAGUGAUGUUGAGCCACAAACAGAGCGCCUGCACUCUGCCCUGGAAGUCCCGCGCUGCGUACUUCUCGUAGUCCCUUUGCAGGGCCUGCAAUGAGGGGUACAGCGCUUCCACAUACUCCAGCAGCUCCAUGACCUGCUUGACCUGUUCAAAGGCCAAGCGCUGCCUCUGGAGAUGCUCUUUGCAGUCGGCGCCUGAACCCAGGGGCUCUGCAGCAUUCAUCCCAGUGGAGGGGCACGCACUAAAGCCCCAGGGAUCAAUUCCACAGUGGUUGGUUUCGGCUGCAGCCGGCUCACGUUUGUCUUUGCAGUCUAGAUUUGGGACAGGCCGAAUAGUCUGGCAGUCCACGUGAAUGGUUUGGGACACUGAACACGGAGCCUGCCUGAGGCUGUCGUACUUCACCUUGAAAUGCAGCACCUCAUUGAUGAGGUCGGGGAUGGCCUGGCGAGCCGUGAAGAGGAAGAAAUCCUGGUCGCUGAUGGAGCGGCGUGCAUGCCAGGCCUGCAGCUCCAGCCAGAUGACUUCGUUAUUGUGGCCCAUGAAGGCCAUGUUCUCCAGGCCUCGCUGCUCCUUCUCCUUGCGCUUGGAGGACAUGGACGUGAGCUUGAGUAGCAGCCGCAGGGUCUCAAAGAACUUAAGACGGUCUGCCGGGCAGUCCGUCCUGGAGGUCUGGCGGUGCGUCCGGGCCAUGUGGGGCAUGGACACAGGGAGUUUGCAACUGCUGCAGCCCAAGCUCAGGUAGUGCUUCCUGGGGUCCAUGUUGAGGGCGCCAAGGGGGCCUGAUUUGGACAGCGGGUCCAGCAUGAAGGUCUCAAAGGUCUUUUUGUUGUCUCUCUCUGUAGAACGAAGGGUGGCCCUCUGCUUCUUGUCCUGCUUGUAGCUGUGCUCCUCGGUCUUCUCUGAUGGCUGGGGGCUCUCUUUCAGGGCAGAUGAGCUGAGGUCCGCUGAAACGCACAGAAAUAUUGGCUCAGUACAGCGAGAAAGACCGUACAACAAAACACGAUUGUUGUUUGUGAUGAAUAUGUCGUUUUUCUCACGCUUGCAGGGAGAACGUCCACCACUCCUUGAUUGGCUGCUUUUCUGGUGAUGUUUGCCAGACAUACGUUUCAUCUGACGGGGCGUGUAAGGCGGUGAUGUCGCAUACAGAGGUUCCUCUUCCUCGCUGGGCGAAUCCCAGGAUUCCUCCGUCUGAGAGUUCUGCCAGGAUUCAUUUUCCCGUGGGUUGCCCUGCCUGGUAACAUUUAUGCUGUCAUUUAGAGGCAAGAGAUAGUCAAACUAUUCACAAUAGGCGAUUCAUGCUGACAUUUUUAUAAUAAGCAGAGUUGCCUGAAGGCCGAAAUUAACAACAAAGACGCUUUUUGGCUUUCUUUAAAAAACGUGAUUUCCGCAAUGUCAAACCAGGAAAACCACAGAAACAUGUGCAAGGUCACAAAGUGCUGGAAUGUUUGCAGCCAUACCGGAGUGCAAAGCAAAUCUCUUGCAAUGCCACAUUUGCAAAAAGCCGAGCUGCAAUGAAUGUGCAGCGCUCCCCACAGCCGGCUGACGAUGGACUUGUGGUGUCUCCUAUGGAGCCUGACUGGCUGUCUCCUGCAGCACAGCAGCACAGCAGCCAUGUAUGUGCAUGACCACAGACCUUCAGAGCCAGGGCGAGCAUUUCAUACAGCGCCUAACUUUUUUUACACUGGUAUGACAGUUAAGAAUGCCAACACUUCCACUAUUUCCUAUUGGGUAAAAAUAUAUCAAAUCUGAUCUAGCAUCUGUGAAGACUGUGUUAGCGCUUCCUUGGUCCACUGUAAUGUACCGAGUCGUAUAUCAAGCACGAGUUAACCAUUGUGGAAGCUUUGUCAACUGAGAUGGGUUUAAGCGCAUGCAUACGUUAAAGAUGCUUGUUUUCAUGUAAUUAAGGUAUCAAUACUCACCUGUCAAAUGUUCAGACAUAGAGCUAGCAUGACAACAUACUUG